AACGAACGCUGGCGGCAUGCCUAACACAUGCAAGUCGAACGAAGCCUUCGGGCUUAGUGGCGCACGGGUGCGUAACGCGUGGGAAUCUGCCCUUGGGUUCGGAAUAACAGUUAGAAAUGACUGCUAAUACCGAAUGAUGUCUUCGGACCAAAGAUUUAUCGCCCAAGGAUGAGCCCGCGUCGGAUUAGCUAGUUGGUGAGGUAAAGGCUCACCAAGGCGACGAUCCGUAGCUGGUCUGAGAGGAUGAUCAGCCACACUGGGACUGAGACACGGCCCAGACUCCUACGGGAGGCAGCAGUGGGGAAUAUUGGACAAUGGGCGAAAGCCUGAUCCAGCAAUGCCGCGUGAGUGAUGAAGGCCUUAGGGUUGUAAAAGCUCUUUUACCCGGGAUGAUAAUGACAGUACCGGGAGAAUAAGCCCCGGCUAAACUCCGUGCCAGCAGCCGCGGUAAU
RNAcentral lists this ribosomal RNA (452 nucleotides) under uncultured bacterium. RNAcentral describes it as "bacterial SSU rRNA". It matches the Rfam family "Bacterial small subunit ribosomal RNA", at positions 29 to 524 of the family's 1533-position model. The record is from RNAcentral.